AAAUAAACUCCCCAAUUACAAACAACUCUGUCAUUUGCAUAUUGUAUGUUGAGUGCAGGUGAGAAGCUGCGUUCAAGUUCGAGCCGAGCGAAGCGAGACAGCGUUGCGCUUGUCGCAACGACCCGAAGGGCGAGGGCAAAGCCCGAGUCAUCCUGCACGACCCACCA
This 167-nucleotide small RNA is filed under the name Providencia alcalifaciens 205/92. RNAcentral describes it as "RtT RNA". The stretch from base 39 to 167 matches the Rfam family "RtT RNA". Rfam says of the family: This family represents a bacterial cis-regulatory element known as RtT RNA. The exact function of RtT is unknown although it is thought that it may be involved in changing the cellular response in relation to amino acid starvation. Lineage: Bacteria; Pseudomonadati; Pseudomonadota; Gammaproteobacteria; Enterobacterales; Morganellaceae. The record is from RNAcentral.